CAAGUCGAACGCGAAAGUUCCCUUCGGGGAGCAAGUAGAGUGGCGCACGGGUGAGUAACACGUAGGUAAUCUACCUUUGGAUUGGGAAUAACACCGAGAAAUCGGUGCUAAUACCGAAUAAUGCAGCGGCACCUAAUGGUGACAGUUGUUAAAGCGGGGGAUCGCAAGACCUCGCGUCUAAAGAGGAGCCUGCGGCGGAUUAGCUAGUUGGUAAGGUAACGGCUUACCAAGGCGAUGAUCCGUAGCCGGCCUGAGAGGGCGGUCGGCCACACUGACACUGACAUACGGGUCAGACUCCUACGGGAGGCAGCAGUCGGGAAUUUUGGGCAAUGGGCGAAAGCCUGACCCAGCAACGCCGCGUGAAGGAUGAAAUCCCUCGGGAUGUAAACUUCGCAAGAACAGGAAGAAUAAGUCGGUGCUAACACCAUCGGCGAUGACGGUACUGUUUGUAAGCUCCGGCUAACUCCGUGCCAGCAGCCGCGGUAAUACGGGGGGAGCAAGCGUUGUUCGGAUUUACUGGGCGUAAAGGGCGCGUAGGCGGCCACCGCAAGUCGACUGUGAAAUCUCCGGGCUUAACUCGGAAAGGUCAGCCGAUACUGCGGGGCUAGAGUGCAGAAGGGGCAACUGGAAUUCUCGGUGUAGCGGUGAAAUGCGUAGAUAUCGAGAGGAACACCUGCGGCGAAGGCGGGUUGCUGGGCUGACACUGACGCUGAUUGUGCGAAAGCUAGGGGAGCGAACGGGAUUAGAUACCCCGGUAGUCCUAGCCUUAAACGAUGAAUGCUUGGUGUCUGGGGUUUUAUAGUCCCCGGGUGCCGUCGCUAACGCUUUAAGCAUUCCGCCUGGGGAGUAC
Molecule: ribosomal RNA, 850 nt
Filed under: uncultured bacterium
Lineage: Bacteria
Description: bacterial SSU rRNA
Rfam family: Bacterial small subunit ribosomal RNA
Source: RNAcentral